UCAAACUUGGUCAUUUAGAGGAAGUAAAAGUCAUAACAAGGUUUCUGUAGGUGAACCUGCAGAAGGAUCAUUAGUGAUUGCUUGGUCGCGGAUUCGUCCCGGCCCUCUCCUUUUGACACACCUGUGCACCGGUGGUGGUUGAUGCUUUACGUAUCGGCCCUGCCAACCUUUAUAAACACAAAAAGUCAUGAACGUAAAUUAUCAUAACAAAAGAUAACUUUUGACAACGGAUCUCUUGGUUCUCCCAUCGAUGAAGAACGCAGC
RNAcentral lists this unclassified non-coding RNA (264 nucleotides) under uncultured fungus. Its description in RNAcentral is "partial contains small subunit ribosomal RNA, internal transcribed spacer 1, and 5.8S ribosomal RNA". The stretch from base 1 to 73 matches the Rfam family "Eukaryotic small subunit ribosomal RNA", at positions 1759 to 1831 of the family's 1831-position model. Lineage: Eukaryota; Fungi. The record is from RNAcentral.